Malaclemys terrapin pileata is the source of this 5944-nucleotide long non-coding RNA. RefSeq lists it as uncharacterized. The record is from RefSeq and is a predicted model, not a curated record. NCBI's taxonomy places the organism in Eukaryota, Metazoa, Chordata, Testudines, Emydidae. The transcript is spliced from 3 exons.
CAGAAGCAGCCCACAGAGCAGACCUGUGCUGGGAGGAGAGCUCCAGCAACCAGAGCCGGAGGGGCCAGAGAAGCAGCCCAGGGAGCUGGAGGUAGAGCAGCAGCAGCAGCAGUAGCAGUGCUGAGGCAGAGUGGAGCUGGAGCUGAGACAGAGUAGAGCUGGAGCUGGGGCUGGAGCAGUCUGGAGAAAGGUGCAGUGAGGAGCUGGCGAGAGUGAGGGGGACCCUUGCCAGUGGGCCCAGCACAGGGAGAUGCCCCAGCCAACACGCCUUCCAGGCCAGACUUGGAGGGGGAUCGUAACCCUGAUGGGGCAGAUGAUACUGGGAAGAAGGGUCCUGCCACCUAGAGCCUGAGAGCGUGUGGCCACCACUAGAGCAAGUGUCUGACUCGCAGCAUCCCUGCAGCACAGCCAGGGCCUGAGAAGGGGCCUGGGACUUGUGAGGAACAGACUGAACUUUGCUGACAUUCCAGAGAUGCUGGUUGUGACGUCCCCGUGCCACAGAGCGGGGUGAUGUGUUUUCCUUUAUCCUUUCCCAUUUUUUCCUUAUUUUUUUUAAUCGAUUGUUGUUUAAUAAAUUGUAUUUGCUUUGAACUAUAUGUAAUGAUCAAUGGGUCAGGGAAGCAUCCAGUGCAGAGAGAGUACCCCGGAGUGGGGACACCCUAGCCCCUGCCCUAAGUGACCACAACAAGUUUGGGGGUUGAGCCCCCCAGGAAUCCUGGGCCCAGCCUUGUUGGGGUUACGAGGACUCUGCCACAGGGGAAAGUGGAGGGAGAGCUCUCGAGGUCAGGCAGGCUUCUGGGUAAAGGAAAUGGGAGCGAGGACUCCGAUCCUUUUGCUAGCCCACUUCACCGGGGUAGUAUAUAAGCCAGGAAAGUUCCCCACAAUAGCGGGACCAUUCCCCCGCUUACAUUUGCAAGCCCCUGAGCUGAUGGGUCACUGGGGCUUCACCCAGGUGUCAGUGCCCAGCUGGGAUGCUGAACUUGCAGGACCAGGGUUUGUUUGUCUAAGGAGUGAUAUUAAAGUCACACAAGCUAAAAAUUGGGUUAAACUGGAAGGCCUGAUUCUCAUUUACACUAAGGCUUCUCUGGCAGUGUGCCUGGGCCUUAAUGCUAGCAGUGUAAUCAACUCUCAUGCUUUCAUCAUGUGGUUCAUGAUAUUUCAUAUGUUUCCUAAAGCCCCAGCUCCUGAAAUCAAGUGAUAAGGGGAGACUCCUGCCUUGCAUUUUCUAAACAAAAAUUUCUAGACCUUGUGGCUGCAGAGAAAAAAUUAAAAAUAUGGCUGAAGUUCAGCCUAAAAGUCUGAGAAAUGAGAAGGAAAAUAAAAAGAACCCAACACUUAUUAUGAACUAGUAUUUUGGUUUUUAAAUUUAAUUAUUUUAAGGUAAUUUCAUCAUUUUCAGGGGUCUGUCUCAGUGACUCCUGAUUUUUAAAUGAUUGACAGUGGGGUGCCAAUGAGAAUUGAGGCCUUAUAUUUCUAUCAGCUACCCAUGGUAAGCCCCCUAAAGAAGUGCCAUCAUUUGUCUAAAACAGCACAGGCAAUAGAAAGGGAAAUAGAGAGGCCAAGCCAUGGGAAUGCACUUGGAGCUAGGCUGUGGACCCAAGCAACAAAUGAGCACAGCCCCCCUGAACUUGGGCUGAACUCAAAAGAUAAAGGAGAAUGUUCACUUUUAUAUUUAGGUCCUUAGAGCCUUAGCUGGAGAAGACAGGCUUGAAUACACAAACUGACCAAUGCCAAUGCAGGAUUGCCAGCACCAAGGGCUCAGAACUCUUGAGACUGGCUGUAGGCAUCAAGAGAAUUAUUUUCCUAAAACCAUCACACAUUGAACUUUUUGUUUGUUUGAAUGCGAGGGAUGAGUUUCACUCUGAUCAUGUGAGUUUGUCUGUUCAUUUGUUUGUUGUGUGCUUGCUGCUUACCGUGUACCUGCAUGAUUGAAGUUUAUAAAAAUAUAAGAACGGCCAGAUAGGGUCAGACCAAAGGUCCAUCUGGCCCAGUAUCCUGUCUUCUGACAGUGGCCAAUGCCAAGUGCUUCAGAGGGAAUGAACAGAAGAGGUAAUUAUCAAGUGAUCCACCCCCGGUCGCCCAUUCCCAGCGUCUGGCAAACAGAGGCUAGGGACACCAUCCCUGCCCAUAGUAUAGUGUUGUCUGUUUGGGGGGCUGUGUGCUGAGCCUAGUGACCUGCUAGGCCAGGCUGGGGCUUCUUAAUGAGGCUCUAGCCUGCCAUCCUUUGAUCCCUAAUUCCUUUAGCAUUCCUUAACAAAAGGGAAAGGCUAACUCAGGGAGAACAGGGGUUUAAAAAGCCAGCUCUUAAGUGACCAGAGGAGCUAGUGAACAGGAGUUUAGUGAGGGAAUGUGAGAGCCAUUUUCUAAACUCAUUCUCUACACUUAGGCCAAUAAACAACCCCCAUAAAACAAAACAAAAAACCAAAAAGCUACAGGAGUAAAAAGAAUUCAGGCAGCCAUCCAGCAGCAGAGAGGGGGCUGUCCAGUUGAUUGAACUGAAUGCAGCAUGUGUGAUUACCAACGUUGUGGUGUAUAUGCACAUUGGGUGCAAGCAGCUCAUGGCCCUCAGAGACCGAGUACCGGCACUUUAGGCCAGAGUUUGGUUGCCAAUUUUAGUUGGACAUAUUCCUGGAGGUUCCAUCACAUGACAUCAUCUUUAAUUAAAGAUUUAUCUUUAAUUCCUGGAGACUCCAGGACAACUUUGGAGGGUUGGCAGCCCUAGGCCAGAGUGGUUGAACUGGAGGAGCUAAGGGAGACAGAGAGGUGCAGAGAAAAGACUUCCUGGGACAAAGUGGAGCAGUCCCACCCCUAGUCUGACAGCCUCUGUGCUGUUGUGGAGGAGGAAACUCGUGGGGAAGUAGGACAUCAAGCUGGAGCUGAGGGAAACCGAUGAUGUCAGGGUAUCCUCUCGCACUGAAGAUACUCCUCCAGGAAAUGGAAUCCCAGUUAUUAGGAAGAGACGGGAAAUAGUAAUGGGGGAUUCUAUCAUUAGAAACAUAGAUAGCUGGGUGUGUGAUGACUGGGAGAGCCACAAUGUGAACUGCCUGCCAGGUGAGAAGGUUGCUGAUCUCUCAAGACCUCUAGACAGAUGUAUAUGAGAUGUUGGGGAGGAGCCUGUGGUUGUCGUACAUGUCGAUGCCACUGGCAUAGGGAAAGGUAGGAGAAACAUCCUGGAAGCCAAAUCUAGGCUGCUAAGAAAAUCCAGAACCUCUAUGGUAGUGUUGUAAGGUCUGAGGGGAGACCUUCUUUUGCAGUUAAAACAACAGCUAUGAGCUAAGUUGCAGAGAGUCACAUCCUCACAUUCCAUCUAUUGCACCAAAACAAUGUAAUAUCUGACUGUUAAGAAGGCACUCCUGUCCUAAUAGUACUCACCAUCACCAGAUAAAGAAAGAGAUCUUAAGAUGUUUAAAGAAAACUUUGUUUGAUAGCAUUCUGUCUGGCAAGAAACCACUUAUCAAUAUUGUGACUGUGAAAUCUGUUCUUCUUUUUGUUUUGCCUUUAUGGCCCCUACUUCUCUAUUGUUUAUCUGUCUGGGCUCUGUCUGAUUCUUUAAUUGUUUCUGUCUGCUGUGUAAUUGGUUUCACAACACUUGAAUUAACUCUUGUAUGUAAAAGGUGGUAGGCUAGGGUUUGUGAAAAAUACUGUUUUGUAGUACUUUAUUUUAAAAUGAUUGGUUAUGGUACAGCUAAGUAGGACCUAGAUUUUACUAUAUAAACUGCAGUCCAAAAAGAAGUUCUUUGGCAAUCUAACUCCAUUACACAGUCCAAGACCAAAGCCACCAGAACUUGAUAAACUGAAUGACCAUUCCAUGCAGAAGCCAAAGACGGAGCUCCAAGGCGAUUCAAUCCUGACUGGACAUCAGGAGAAGCUCAUCUGCCUUAGUGGGAAUGACCCAUGUGGUUGGGGAGCACAAGUCCACGUAUGUUUGGGGACCUUGCUGAGUCUCCAGGCCAGGCUGAGAAAUUCCCCUGGUGUGGCCUCAUGCAGGAACAUGGGAGCCAUGCAGGGUCAAAGACACUGGUAUGUUAGAGGCUGGAGAAGCUAAUUUCAUGAGACCUGAAGCCAUGUGCCACCCACUGCCUCAGGAAUAGAGAGUGAGCUGGGAACCUACACCCCAGACCCAGAAGAAAGGGCAGAUUCUCUCCCCCGUGAAUGAGGUUGGUGGGAAAGUGAAGACUGGGGCCUCGCUAUCAGCACUGAAAAAUGCCACCUGCCCCUGUUCACAGUCCAGAGACACCUGGAUCCUCCCGGGGACCUGGCUCAGAGACAGGGGGGGUUGGAGGGGAGGGGAGAGCCUGGAACUGAAACCCCCACCUCUGCACAGCCCAGACCCCCCCCCCAUCAGGUGCCGCACUGAGCUCCUCCUUUCUCUUCACAGACUCUCUGUCCACCUCUACCUCCCAGCAAUGUCUCCCUGAGGUGAAUCCCUCACAGCGCAGCACACAAGGAGACGAAUCAAAUCUCUGGGGAUGUUCAGGGUGGUUCAGCCGUAUGACGUCCUAGGUCAAAAUUUUCCAAACCACAGACAGGGGGAGCCAGGGAUGAGCCGUGUCUGGAUCCAGAGUCACACUCGCUGGGGAGAGAAGCAGAGCGCUUCAGGCAGAGCUCAGCCCCCACAGGAGAGCCUGGCCCCAAGGGAAGGUUCUCGGGGAAAGCCCCUCACCCAGGAGAAGGGGGAAAAGUGUGACAUUUCUGAGCAACAUCUCUGCUCCAUUUUCCUCAUUAAAUACAAAAAAGGAACCUGGGGUGGGAUUUUCAGGAACACCUAAGGGCACAAGGCCCAUUGGGACUUGACUUGUGCUACCGACUCUCUUAGAUGCUCCUGACAAUCCCACCCAGAAAUGUCCAUGAGCAGUGCCGGGGCAGAGUAAAGGGUGUUUGGGGGUCAGUCGGUGAGAUGGUUUCUUUGUAUUCUGGGUGUGUGAACUGGUUGCUCAGGCUGAUGUUGGGAUCUUUGGUGCACAAUGAAGCCAGGCCCCCACUCAGCUCGAUGGGACAUUUCUGCGCCUGUCACACGAUGGCUUUGGAGAACAUCCGCUCAGUUCCGGACCCGAUGGGCCUGGUCGAGGCACAAACGGGUAGAACCCUGCUGACUUUGGGGACAAUCAGAAAACUGGAAAAGCCCAAUUUCCACUAAAGUCGGGUCCACAGAGGCCUAGGAUGAUGUGGGCAGAGGAAUCUCUCUGGCUCCCCCUGCUGAUGUCUAUAUGUAUGACAAGUAGCUGCUAGGAGGGUUCGCACACUGCAUUGCUUAUGUAGGCUGAGCUGUAUGACCAGCUGGGCCCUUCUCCCCUAAUACAACCCAUCACCACAGCCAGGCCCCUACCCUCACUAUGCACAGCCCCCCAGCCAGUCCCCCUAUCACCCCGAGCCAGUCCCCUCACUCCCACCCUGUCCCGAAUGCCCUCCAACCAUGCCCCUCGUCCCCAUUCUGAUCAGCCAUCACAGCCAUGCCCUUAAGCCCUGUCAUAACUAUAAAGGGAAGGGUAACAGCUCUCCUGUGUACAGUACUAUAAAAUCCCUCCUGGCCAGAGACUCCAAAAUCCUUUUCAAGCCCCCCCUCCAAUCAACAUCCCCAUAGGUGGGUCUCACCUCACACUGUUCAGGCCCCCUAACUGGAGCCUUCAUUCCCUCCCCACUCUGGCUAGCCACCACAAACUGGGCCCCUAACUGUGCACCCCAGCCAGCCCUCCUAGCCACUUUGGCUAGCCCCAAUAACCAAGUCUCCAUUUGCACUGGAAAGCUGGAUAACACACAGAGCUCGGCCUACAUGAGCAAACGUGUGACAAACUAGUGUGCAAUCGUACCUUGUAGUUUCCUUAGAAUCUAAUCAUUUUUAUAUUGUUUUAGUGUGCUGUGUAAUUCUUUCUUUCUUUCUAGUAACUUUAACUACAAAUUAACAAAGAUAUUUUGGAGGGGAAGUGUCUUUCCUUCUAAUUUAAUA